GACGAACGCUGGCGGCGUGCUUAACACAUGCAAGUCGAACGGAAAGGCCCUGCUUUUGUGGGGUGCUCGAGUGGCGAACGGGUGAGUAACACGUGAGUAACCUGCCCUUGACUUUGGGAUAACUUCAGGAAACUGGGGCUAAUACCGGAUAGGAGCUCCUGCUGCAUGGUGGGGGUUGGAAAGUUUCGGCGGUUGGGGAUGGACUCGCGGCUUAUCAGCUUGUUGGUGGGGUAGUGGCUUACCAAGGCUUUGACGGGUAGCCGGCCUGAGAGGGUGACCGGCCACAUUGGGACUGAGAUACGGCCCAGACUCCUACGGGAGGCAGCAGUGGGGAAUAUUGCACAAUGGGCGGAAGCCUGAUGCAGCAACGCCGCGUGCGGGAUGACGGUCUUCGGGUUGUAAACCGCUUUCGCCUGUAACGAAGCGUGAGUGACGGUAAUGGGUAAAGAAGCACCGGCUAACUACGUG
RNAcentral lists this ribosomal RNA (468 nucleotides) under uncultured bacterium. RNAcentral describes it as "partial 16S ribosomal RNA". It matches the Rfam family "Bacterial small subunit ribosomal RNA", at positions 28 to 507 of the family's 1533-position model. The record is from RNAcentral.